Long non-coding RNA from Equus caballus (horse), 1931 nucleotides. The record is from Ensembl. Lineage: Eukaryota; Metazoa; Chordata; Mammalia; Perissodactyla; Equidae.
GGACUAAUUAUUGAUACUGAAAAGUCCAAGGUAAGAUAUCAAGAAUGCCACAGCUUGAGCAGAAACAAUGUUCGUGAGAUGUCAACUAGGCACUGCUUAGUGAAAUAAGCAGAUAGGUGUAAACUGUAGGAACUGCAAAAGGACCCAACCAACAAGCUGGGAUCAGGGGCAGGAUCCUAGGAAAUUACAGUCAGAAAGAGGGCCAGGAUUCAUGGGGGCAACAGGGCAGAUUGAUUAUACACUGAAAGGGGAACUCAGAAGACGGACCAAGGCCUACGUCACUGAAGAGCUACGGACAGUGAGAGCCGGACCUGAGGAAGGACGAGGAUGCCAGUUAAGCGCAGGGUUAUAUCGCUCAGGUCCAACUUCUAUUAACUCCCAUUCAACCCAUCUCGAGAACAACCUCACACUUCCUUUACCACCCAGGAUUGGCUCAGGAACUGAGCUGGGAGACUCUUCAGGAAGGACCAUCACGACAGCCAUGUAGGUCUGAACGGCGGAGGCAGAAGCAGGCCUUCAGGGAGCCAGUUGGGGGCAUGAGUGCAAGUAAAGAAGAGGAAAAAAGGAGAAAAUGAUCUAAUAUUCCAAAAUUAAGAAGAAAAAGAGGAGGAUCCAGCCAAGGAGACUGAGAAGGAGCAACCAGCAAGAUAGGAAGAAAACUAAGAAACAGUUGCAUUCUGGAAACCAAGUGAAGAAAGUUUCUUAAGGGAAAGGGAGUGAUCAAAUGCGUCAAAUGAUACCAAGAGGGCAAGUCAGAUGAACACUGAGAACUGUCCACCAUAUUUAGGACCAUGGAGGUCAAUCGGUGACCUCAAGAAGAACAAUUUUUAGACUCAUGAGGGAGAAAGUCUGGUUAGAUUUCAUUAAAAGAGAAAGGAAGAAGAAGUGAAAUCAAGGAGCAAAGACAACUCUUUUGCUCCAAAGAGGAACAAAGAAAUGGGGUAGUAGGUGGAAUGGAAAAUGGGUGAAGAGAAAUAUUUUUUAAGAUAAAAGAAGAAAUAAUAUGGGGGUAGGGCACAAAGGGGGAAGUGGUGUACCCACAGCAUGACUAACAAUAAUGUACAACUGAAAUCUCACAAGGUUGUAAUCUAUCAUAACAGUAAUAAAAAAAAAAAAAGAAAGAAAAAAAAGAAGAAAUAAUAUAUUUAUAUAUUCCUGAGAAUUAUUCCAUAGAGAGGGAAAAUUUGAUGAUGAGGAUGGGAGAAGGGAAUAUUGCUAGAGCAAUGUCCUUGAGUAGGCUACAGAGUAUAAGAUCUAAAGGUGAGGAAUACAAGACUGGUAAUGGAUCUAAGCUUUUACAUGGGCAGUAGAGUGGAAGGGUUUGGGGAGGUAAGGAGUGGGAGGAGCAAAGAAUAGAAUGGAAUGUACAGAGGCUGUGUGGAGUUUCCCUCAAUUUUUCAAACACUAUUCAUGUAAGAAUAAACACUUCACUGUAAAUGUGGUGUUUAGCAACUGAUUGCCUGAAGUAUAGAUUAUCCAAGAUUUUUCAUACCACGGCUUGCUAUAAUCUCCUAAGGAUUGGUGAGGAAAAGAAAUGGAGAUAAAACUCAAAAUCCAUGUCAAUUUGGACAUUGUAAGCAGAUCAUCAGAUUAAAGUUAGGUAAUGAUAAGAGGUUAUUUGUCAAAUACAUUUAAGAAUUUUCUGAGGACUUCACAUACUUAUGUUGCUCACAUUUUCCAUUGCCAUGACAUUUCCAAGUUUCAUGUUUGCGUUAUACGUCUAUGGAUGUGCAACUCAAAAUUAUAGUUUUAAAAAAGAACAAAUACAUUUGGUGGAAAUCUGGGAUCUUUGGCAUAGCUAAUAGAGAAGAGACUUCUAGUUAUUAAUUACAAUAAACAAACGUGUCCAUAAUGACAGAGUUUACAGCAAUGAGGCAUAUUUCUUCUUGCGAUAAUAAUUAAUUGGCUGAAGACUUGCUGGUCCAAUGGAA